RNAcentral lists this ribosomal RNA (377 nucleotides) under uncultured organism. Its description in RNAcentral is "partial 16S ribosomal RNA". It matches the Rfam family "Bacterial small subunit ribosomal RNA", at positions 527 to 896 of the family's 1533-position model. The record is from RNAcentral.
GUAGGUGGCAAGCGUUGUACGGAAUUAUUGGGCGUAAAGCGCGCGCAGGUGGUUCGUUUAAGUCUGAUGUGAAAGACCCCCGGGCUCAACCGGGGAGGGUCAUUGGAAACUGGGGAACUUGAGUGCAGGAGAGGAAAGUGGAAUUCCACGUGUAGCGGUGAAAUGCGUAGAUAUGUGGAGGAACACCAGUGGCGAAGGCGACUUUCUGGCCUGUAACUGACACUGAGGCGCGAAAGCGUGGGGGAGCAAACAGGAUUAGAUACCCUGGUAGUCCACGCCGUAAACGAUGAGUGCUAAGUGUUGGGGGGGUUUCCGCCCCUCAGUGCUGCAGCUAACGCAUUAAGCACUCCGCCUGGGGAGUACGGUCGCAAAGACUG